GACGAACGCUGGCGGCGUGCUUAACACAUGCAAGUCGAACGGAAAGGCCCUGCUUUUGUGGGGUGCUCGAGUGGCGAACGGGUGAGUAACACGUGAGUAACCUGCCCUUGACUUUGGUAUAACUUCAGGAAACUGGGGCUAAUACCGGAUAGGAGCUCCUGCUGCAUGGUGGGGGUUGGAAAGUUUCGGCGGUUGGGGAUGGACUCGCGGCUUAUCAGCUUGUUGGUGGGGUAGUGGCUUACCAAGGCUUUGACGGGUAGCCGGCCUGAGAGGGUGACCGGCCACAUUGGGACUGAGAGACGGACCAGACUCCUACGGGAGGCAGCAGGGGGGAAUAUUGCACAAUGGGCGGAAGCCUGAUGAAGCAACGCCGCGUGCGGGAUGACGGCCUGCGGGUUGUAAACCGCUUUCGCCUGUGACGAAGCGGGAGUGACGGUAAUGGGUAAAGAAGCACCGGCUAACUACGUG
RNAcentral lists this ribosomal RNA (468 nucleotides) under uncultured bacterium. RNAcentral's name for it is "partial 16S ribosomal RNA". It matches the Rfam family "Bacterial small subunit ribosomal RNA", at positions 28 to 507 of the family's 1533-position model. The record is from RNAcentral.